RNAcentral lists this ribosomal RNA (312 nucleotides) under Triticum aestivum (bread wheat). RNAcentral's name for it is "partial small subunit ribosomal RNA". The record is from RNAcentral. Lineage: Eukaryota; Viridiplantae; Streptophyta; Magnoliopsida; Poales; Poaceae.
AUGUCCGGCCGCGGCAAGGGCGGGAAGGGGCUGGGCAAGGGCGGCGCCAAGCGCCACCGGAAGGUGCUGCGGGACAACAUCCAGGGCAUCACCAAGCCGGCCAUCCGGCGGCUGGCUCGCCGUGGCGGCGUGAAGCGCAUCUCGGGGCUCAUCUACGAGGAGACCCGCGGCGUGCUCAAGAUCUUCCUCGAGAACGNCAUCCGCGACGCCGUCACCUACACUGAGCACGCCCGCCGCAAGACCGUCACCGCCAUGGACGUCGUCUACGCGCUCAAGCGACAGGGCCGCACCCUCUACGGAUUCGGCGGCUGA